This 267-nucleotide unclassified non-coding RNA is filed under the name plant metagenome. RNAcentral describes it as "partial contains small subunit ribosomal RNA, internal transcribed spacer 1, and 5.8S ribosomal RNA". The record is from RNAcentral.
UUUCCGUAGGUGAACCUGCGGAAGGAUCAUUAUCGUACAAAAUGUGAGGGGCAUGCGAGGGCUGUCGCUGACUCAAAAGUCGUGCACGCCCGAGUGUGUCCUCUUGCAUAAUAAUCCAUCUCACCCUUUGUGCAUCACCGCGUGGGCACCCUUCGGGAUCAUCUCGGAGGGGGGCUCGCGUUUUCACACAAACCCCCCUUUUAAAAGUGUAGAAUGACCACAUUUAUGCAAUCAAUACAACUUUCAACAACGGAUCUCUUGGCUCUC